This 62-nucleotide transfer RNA is filed under the name Pseudotrapelus jensvindumi. RNAcentral's name for it is "tRNA-Ser". The record is from RNAcentral. Lineage: Eukaryota; Metazoa; Chordata; Lepidosauria; Squamata; Agamidae.
AAGAAAACCUUACGCUGGAACUGCUAACUCCAGCUCCUGGAACUAAUACGUCCAGACUUCUU